RNAcentral lists this ribosomal RNA (489 nucleotides) under uncultured bacterium. RNAcentral's name for it is "partial 16S ribosomal RNA". It matches the Rfam family "Bacterial small subunit ribosomal RNA", at positions 30 to 507 of the family's 1533-position model. The record is from RNAcentral.
UUGAACGCUGGCGGCAGGCCUAACACAUGCAAGUCGAACGGUAACAGGAAACAGCUUGCUGUUUCGCUGACGAGUGGCGGACGGGUGAGUAAUGUCUGGGAAACUGCCUGAUGGAGGGGGAUAACUACUGGAAACGGUAGCUAAUACCGCAUAACGUCGCAAGACCAAAGAGGGGGACCUUCGGGCCUCUUGCCAUCGGAUGUGCCCAGAUGGGAUUAGCUAGUAGGUGGGGUAACGGCGCACCUAGGCGACGAUCCCUAGCUGGUCUGAGAGGAUGACCCGCCCCACUGGAACUGAGACACGGGCCAGACUCCUACGGGAGGCAGCAGUGGGGAAUAUUGCACAAUGGGCGCAAGCCUGAUGCAGCCAUGCCGCGUGUAUGAAGAAGGCCUUCUGGUUGUAAAGUACUUUUAGCGGGGAUGAAGGGAGUAAAGUUAAUACCUUUGCUCAUUGACGUUACCCGCAGAAGAAGCACCGGCUAACUCCGUG